This 290-nucleotide small RNA is filed under the name Jannaschia aquimarina. RNAcentral's name for it is "Jannaschia sp. GSW-M26 5' ureB small RNA". It matches the Rfam family "5' ureB small RNA". The record is from Rfam by way of RNAcentral. Lineage: Bacteria; Pseudomonadati; Pseudomonadota; Alphaproteobacteria; Rhodobacterales; Roseobacteraceae.
CAUCCUCGAUCUGCUGGGGACAGAUGAAAUGGAUAUGCGCGUCGAAGCCGCCCGCCGUCAGAAUGCGUCCUUCGCCCGCGAUGGCUUCGGUGCCCGGACCGACGGGAAUGGUGACGCCGUCCUGCGUAUCCGGAUUGCCCGCCUUCCCGAUGGCAGCGAUCCGUCCAUCCCGCAGGCCGACAUCGGCCUUGUAGAUCCCGCUAUGGUCCAGGAUCAGCGCGUUCGUGAUGACGGUGUCGACCGAGCCCUCGGCCCGCGUCAUCUGCCCCUGGCCCAUCCCGUCGCGGAUG